CUAGAACAUCGUGGUGAUUUGGCCGGCCGGCUUGCAGCCACGUUAAAUAAGUCGCUAAAGGGCCGUGCGUCACGGACC
RNAcentral lists this non-coding RNA (78 nucleotides) under Hyphomicrobiales bacterium. Lineage: Bacteria; Pseudomonadati; Pseudomonadota; Alphaproteobacteria; Hyphomicrobiales. The record is from RNAcentral.